Molecule: ribosomal RNA, 496 nt
Filed under: uncultured bacterium
Lineage: Bacteria
Description: partial 16S ribosomal RNA
Rfam family: Bacterial small subunit ribosomal RNA
Source: RNAcentral
GACGAACGCUGGCGGCGUGCCUAAUACAUGCAAGUUGAGCGCUGAAGGUUGGUACUUGUACCAACUGGAUGAGCAGCGAACGGGUGAGUAACGCGUGGGGAAUCUGCCUUUGAGCGGGGGACAACAUUUGGAAACGAAUGCUAAUACCGCAUAAAAACUUUAAACACAAGUUUUAAGUUUGAAAGAUGCAAUUGCAUCACUCAAAGAUGAUCCCGCGUUGUAUUAGCUAGUUGGUGAGGUAAAGGCUCACCAAGGCGAUGAUACAUAGCCGACCUGAGAGGGUGAUCGGCCACAUUGGGACUGAGACACGGCCCAAACUCCUACGGGAGGCAGCAGUAGGGAAUCUUCGGCAAUGGACGAAAGUCUGACCGAGCAACGCCGCGUGAGUGAAGAAGGUUUUCGGAUCGUAAAACUCUGUUGGUAGAGAAGAACGUUGGUGAGAGUGGAAAGCACAUCAAGUGACGGGAACUACCCAGAAAGGGACGGCUAACUACGU